AACGCUGGCGGCAUGCCUAACACAUGCAAGUCGAACGGCAGCACAGCAGUAGCAAUACUGUGGGUGGCGAGUGGCGGACGGGUGAGGAAUACGUCGGAAUCUGCCCAGUCGUGGGGGAUAACUAGCCGAAAGGUUAGCUAAUACCGCAUACGACCGAGAGGUGAAAGCGGGGGACCGCAAGGCCUCGCGCGAUUGGAUGAGCCGACGUCGGAUUAGCUAGUUGGCGGGGUAAAGGCCCACCAAGGCGACGAUCCGUAGCUGGUCUGAGAGGAUGAUCAGCCACACUGGAACUGAGACACGGUCCAGACUCCUACGGGAGGCAGCAGUGGGGAAUAUUGGACAAUGGGCGCAAGCCUGAUCCAGCAAUGCCGCGUGUGUGAAGAAGGCCUUCGGGUUGUAAAGCACCUUUAUCAGGAACGAAAAGCGUUGGAUUAAUACUCUGACGUGCUGACGGUACCUGAGGAAUAAGCACCGGCUAACUUCGUG
This 486-nucleotide ribosomal RNA is filed under the name uncultured bacterium. RNAcentral describes it as "bacterial SSU rRNA". It matches the Rfam family "Bacterial small subunit ribosomal RNA", at positions 32 to 507 of the family's 1533-position model. The record is from RNAcentral.